UCAUGUCAUUCAGUCAUGCUGCCGCGUGAACUGUACAAAUCCACUCUGUGUACCUACCCUGUUGCUUCCGCUGGGCCCGGAGCAUUUUGGAGGAGUUGCCUCUCGCACGGUCAAUUUCUGUGCAGAGUUUGGCUGUUCCUCUGGGACUGCUCUGGAUUCACAUGCCUGGCGGGAGGAUUCCUUAAUCUCUGGGUUUACUAUUCCAUCUGUCUGAUCUAUGAACCAAAAAAAAAUGUUUA
This 239-nucleotide unclassified non-coding RNA is filed under the name uncultured Humaria. RNAcentral's name for it is "sequence contains ITS1". Lineage: Eukaryota; Fungi; Ascomycota; Pezizomycetes; Pezizales; Pyronemataceae. The record is from RNAcentral.